Symphalangus syndactylus (siamang) is the source of this 652-nucleotide long non-coding RNA. RefSeq lists it as uncharacterized. NCBI's taxonomy places the organism in Eukaryota, Metazoa, Chordata, Mammalia, Primates, Hylobatidae. The record is from RefSeq and is a predicted model, not a curated record.
ACCAUUUUUUCUUUUAAAUGUUGAUGUUUACACAUUUCCUAAAUUGUGGAGAAAGGUGAUUUCCCAAAUAAAGGCAGCAAUCGGUUUGCAAGACCUCAAAUUCGCUCACUGAUGGUGAAUUUUUGCUGUCUCUAAAAAUAUUCAAAAAAGAGUGUCGACGAUCUGAGGGUCAUCCCAGAAACUCCACAUCAUGUCCUGAACUGAAACCUCUCCAGAGAAGCAUGUCACCACCAAGAAGUGAAGAAAAACUAAACUGCAAAUGAAAGCAGAAUUAGGUUUCAGAAAAAGAAGUUGGAAGAUGCAAGGAAAGAGAAGCCGUUUUUUCCAUGUUGGAAAGAGGAGAGGAGCAACUGCUGUAAGUGGCAUGACUGAGAGGCACGUGUGUGUGAAUACACGCCUCCACCCGGGCCGCCGCUGUCUGGCUCCACAUCCCGUGCCCUUGGAUUUAGAGCCUUCGGGUCCCCCUGCUUGCUCCUGGCAAACACCCCACCCUGCAGUGCCAUCUAGGUGGGAAAUGUUCCCGCACAGCAACUCAUUCUGCUUCCAGUCUCAGCUGCCGCUCCGCUAGCUCCUACCACAGUCUUGGCAGUCAUGUCCUGAAACUAUUUUUAUAUACCGGAUCACUUUUCGCGAAUUUGUUUUUGAGGAAAAG